Molecule: ribosomal RNA, 2925 nt
Filed under: Escherichia coli
Lineage: Bacteria; Pseudomonadati; Pseudomonadota; Gammaproteobacteria; Enterobacterales; Enterobacteriaceae
Description: 23S ribosomal RNA
Rfam family: Bacterial large subunit ribosomal RNA
Source: RNAcentral
GGGUUGUGAGGUUAAGCGACUAAGCGUACACGGUGGAUGCCCUGGCAGUCAGAGGCGAUGAAGGACGUGCUAAUCUGCGAUAAGCGUCGGUAAGGUGAUAUGAACCGUUAUAACCGGCGAUUUCCGAAUGGGGAAACCCAGUGUGUUUCGACACACUAUCAUUAACUGAAUCCAUAGGUUAAUGAGGCGAACCGGGGGAACUGAAACAUCUAAGUACCCCGAGGAAAAGAAAUCAACCGAGAUUCCCCCAGUAGCGGCGAGCGAACGGGGAGCAGCCCAGAGCCUGAAUCAGUGUGUGUGUUAGUGGAAGCGUCUGGAAAGGCGCGCGAUACAGGGUGACAGCCCCGUACACAAAAAUGCACAUGCUGUGAGCUCGAUGAGUAGGGCGGGACACGUGGUAUCCUGUCUGAAUAUGGGGGGACCAUCCUCCAAGGCUAAAUACUCCUGACUGACCGAUAGUGAACCAGUACCGUGAGGGAAAGGCGAAAAGAACCCCGGCGAGGGGAGUGAAAAAGAACCUGAAACCGUGUACGUACAAGCAGUGGGAGCCUCUUUUAUGGGGUGACUGCGUACCUUUUGUAUAAUGGGUCAGCGACUUAUAUUCUGUAGCAAGGUUAACCGAAUAGGGGAGCCGAAGGGAAACCGAGUCUUAACUGGGCGUUAAGUUGCAGGGUAUAGACCCGAAACCCGGUGAUCUAGCCAUGGGCAGGUUGAAGGUUGGGUAACACUAACUGGAGGACCGAACCGACUAAUGUUGAAAAAUUAGCGGAUGACUUGUGGCUGGGGGUGAAAGGCCAAUCAAACCGGGAGAUAGCUGGUUCUCCCCGAAAGCUAUUUAGGUAGCGCCUCGUGAACUCAUCUCCGGGGGUAGAGCACUGUUUCGGCAAGGGGGUCAUCCCGACUUACCAACCCGAUGCAAACUGCGAAUACCGGAGAAUGUUAUCACGGGAGACACACGGCGGGUGCUAACGUCCGUCGUGAAGAGGGAAACAACCCAGACCGCCAGCUAAGGUCCCAAAGUCAUGGUUAAGUGGGAAACGAUGUGGGAAGGCCCAGACAGCCAGGAUGUUGGCUUAGAAGCAGCCAUCAUUUAAAGAAAGCGUAAUAGCUCACUGGUCGAGUCGGCCUGCGCGGAAGAUGUAACGGGGCUAAACCAUGCACCGAAGCUGCGGCAGCGACGCUUAUGCGUUGUUGGGUAGGGGAGCGUUCUGUAAGCCUGCGAAGGUGUGCUGUGAGGCAUGCUGGAGGUAUCAGAAGUGCGAAUGCUGACAUAAGUAACGAUAAAGCGGGUGAAAAGCCCGCUCGCCGGAAGACCAAGGGUUCCUGUCCAACGUUAAUCGGGGCAGGGUGAGUCGACCCCUAAGGCGAGGCCGAAAGGCGUAGUCGAUGGGAAACAGGUUAAUAUUCCUGUACUUGGUGUUACUGCGAAGGGGGGACGGAGAAGGCUAUGUUGGCCGGGCGACGGUUGUCCCGGUUUAAGCGUGUAGGCUGGUUUUCCAGGCAAAUCCGGAAAAUCAAGGCUGAGGCGUGAUGACGAGGCACUACGGUGCUGAAGCAACAAAUGCCCUGCUUCCAGGAAAAGCCUCUAAGCAUCAGGUAACAUCAAAUCGUACCCCAAACCGACACAGGUGGUCAGGUAGAGAAUACCAAGGCGCUUGAGAGAACUCGGGUGAAGGAACUAGGCAAAAUGGUGCCGUAACUUCGGGAGAAGGCACGCUGAUAUGUAGGUGAAGCGACUUGCUCGUGGAGCUGAAAUCAGUCGAAGAUACCAGCUGGCUGCAACUGUUUAUUAAAAACACAGCACUGUGCAAACACGAAAGUGGACGUAUACGGUGUGACGCCUGCCCGGUGCCGGAAGGUUAAUUGAUGGGGUCAGCGCAAGCGAAGCUCUUGAUCGAAGCCCCGGUAAACGGCGGCCGUAACUAUAACGGUCCUAAGGUAGCGAAAUUCCUUGUCGGGUAAGUUCCGACCUGCACGAAUGGCGUAAUGAUGGCCAGGCUGUCUCCACCCGAGACUCAGUGAAAUUGAACUCGCUGUGAAGAUGCAGUGUACCCGCGGCAAGACGGAAAGACCCCGUGAACCUUUACUAUAGCUUGACACUGAACAUUGAGCCUUGAUGUGUAGGAUAGGUGGGAGGCUUUGAAGUGUGGACGCCAGUCUGCAUGGAGCCGACCUUGAAAUACCACCCUUUAAUGUUUGAUGUUCUAACGUUGACCCGUAAUCCGGGUUGCGGACAGUGUCUGGUGGGUAGUUUGACUGGGGCGGUCUCCUCCUAAAGAGUAACGGAGGAGCACGAAGGUUGGCUAAUCCUGGUCGGACAUCAGGAGGUUAGUGCAAUGGCAUAAGCCAGCUUGACUGCGAGCGUGACGGCGCGAGCAGGUGCGAAAGCAGGUCAUAGUGAUCCGGUGGUUCUGAAUGGAAGGGCCAUCGCUCAACGGAUAAAAGGUACUCCGGGGAUAACAGGCUGAUACCGCCCAAGAGUUCAUAUCGACGGCGGUGUUUGGCACCUCGAUGUCGGCUCAUCACAUCCUGGGGCUGAAGUAGGUCCCAAGGGUAUGGCUGUUCGCCAUUUAAAGUGGUACGCGAGCUGGGUUUAGAACGUCGUGAGACAGUUCGGUCCCUAUCUGCCGUGGGCGCUGGAGAACUGAGGGGGGCUGCUCCUAGUACGAGAGGACCGGAGUGGACGCAUCACUGGUGUUCGGGUUGUCAUGCCAAUGGCACUGCCCGGUAGCUAAAUGCGGAAGAGAUAAGUGCUGAAAGCAUCUAAGCACGAAACUUGCCCCGAGAUGAGUUCUCCCUGACUCCUUGAGAGUCCUGAAGGAACGUUGAAGACGACGACGUUGAUAGGCCGGGUGUGUAAGCGCAGCGAUGCGUUGAGCUAACCGGUACUAAUGAACCGUGAGGCUUAACCUUACAACGCCGAAG